This 477-nucleotide long non-coding RNA is filed under the name Canis lupus familiaris (dog). Its description in RNAcentral is "lncRNA (ENSCAFG00845016244.1)". Lineage: Eukaryota; Metazoa; Chordata; Mammalia; Carnivora; Canidae. The record is from RNAcentral.
AGUGAGAAUCCCUUUGUCUCCCCUCAUGCCAGAGCGGUUCAGCCCCCACCACUGGGACCUACCCUCCCAACUGAGUCCCAACCACCUGAAGGAUCACUAACAACAACCCUUCAUCUUGAAAGGGCCGUGUUCCAUCAGAAUCAUCAGAAAUAUGCAUUUAGCAGCUACCAGCUGGUCCAAUGCAAUGUGAGCAUUCUGUCAAGGGAUCAUCACUCGCUCCAAGUUCUCACCUUCCUCCUACUCAAACACACACAGAUACCAAAAGGCCUGGAUCCUAAACAUUGGCUUCUCUGCUGUAUAACCUUGGGCUAGCAACCUAACCUUUCUGGGCCUCAUUUUCCUCAUCUGUAAAGCGGGAAUGAUACAGAUAUGUAUAACCAUGCUUUGCUGCACAAAGCACUUAAGACAGACAAGAUAACUCUGAAAAUAAAUGAAAUCUAAAAUAUUUAGCAUAGUACUCAGCACAAUGUAAGUCCU